Physcomitrium patens is the source of this 236-nucleotide long non-coding RNA. RefSeq lists it as uncharacterized. NCBI's taxonomy places the organism in Eukaryota, Viridiplantae, Streptophyta, Bryopsida, Funariales, Funariaceae. The record is from RefSeq and is a predicted model, not a curated record.
UUUGCUUUUGUAUAAAUACUUAGUGUGAGAUGUGGAUGCCAUUUUCAUUUAUCGCUGUUGCUCCCCCCUUGACUAGCUUCUGAGACUUGAAGUUCGGAUUCCAGUGUCUGUUGCAGGAUUAUGUCAAGACUACAGUUUCAAGAGUAUGUUGGGGUCGCAAGGCGUUGUGAGACUGGCUGAUUUUCACUUAUCACAAAGCUAUAAAAAAAAAAAAAAAAAAAAAAAAAAAAAACCCC